CAGUAGCCGCGGGAAAACGAAGGGUGCAAGCGUUACUCGGAAUUACUGGGCGUAAAGCGUGCGUAGGUGGUGGUUUAAGUCCGUUGUGAAAGCCCUGGGCUCAACCUGGGAAUUGCAGUGGAUACUGGAUCACUAGAGUGUGGUAGAGGAUAGUGGAAUUUCCGGUGUAGCAGUGAAAUGCGUAGAGAUCGGAAGGAACAUCUGUGGCGAAAGCACUCUGCUGGGCCGACACUGACACUGAGAGACGAAAGCUAGGGGAGCAAAUGGGAUUAGAGACCCCGGUAGUCCCUGUCUCUUAUAC
RNAcentral lists this ribosomal RNA (301 nucleotides) under uncultured bacterium. Its description in RNAcentral is "partial 16S ribosomal RNA". It matches the Rfam family "Bacterial small subunit ribosomal RNA", at positions 509 to 807 of the family's 1533-position model. The record is from RNAcentral.